Hippoglossus stenolepis (Pacific halibut) is the source of this 2641-nucleotide RNA transcript. It is a transcript of the gene named phospholipase B domain containing 1a, with no coding region annotated. NCBI's taxonomy places the organism in Eukaryota, Metazoa, Chordata, Actinopteri, Pleuronectiformes, Pleuronectidae. The record is from RefSeq and is a predicted model, not a curated record. The transcript has 12 exons.
GAGACGACUGGUUUCACUCCUGAAUCACUUCGUCUCCUGCUCCCAGAUUCACUCCUCAGCCUCCUGCCGCCUCCCCCCUGUCAGCCAUGCUCCGGGCCUGGAGUGUGUGUGUCCUCCUCCUGAUCGGGGCGAGCCUCUCCGCUGCAGACAAGAUGACAGCAGCCACCGUGUACUGGGAUCCCCUCCAAAAGACCGUCCUGCUGAAGGAAGGGGUUCUGGAGGUGGAGGGGGACGCGUACGGGUACCUGAACGACACCUUGUCCAGUACAGGCUGGAGCAUCCUCGAGAUCCGGGCCGGCUACGGAAAAACCCCCGAGACCGACGAGGUCACCUUCUUCCUCGCCGGAUACCUCGAAGGCUUCCUCACCGCCCAGCAGAUGAUGGACAACUACAUCAACAUGUACCCGCAGCUGAUUCACGACCCAAAGAUCCUCGGCCCUGUUCAGAGUUUCAUGGAGAAGCAGGAUUCAUGGGUCAGGGCGCAAGUGAAGUCCAACAAGAGCUCCGAUCCUCUGUGGAGACACGCAGGCUUCAUCGUGGCCCAGAUGGACGGACUCCAAGCCGGAGCAAGAGACUGGGCCAAGAAACAAGGGAAAAAGCCGCUGUCCCUGUUCUCCAUCCAGUUCCUGAGCGCGGUGGGAGACCUGCUGGAUCUGAUCCCAGCCCUGGUCCCCGACUCCCGACACAGAGACUUCAGACGGCCGGGGAUGGGGCACUGCUCCGCGCUCAUCAAGAUGCUCCCCGGCUUUGAGAACCUCCUGUUCGCCCACUCCAGCUGGUACACGUACGCUGCCACCAUGCGCAUCUACAAACACUGGGACUUCCACGUCGCUGAUCCCAACACGGCCACUGGGAAACUGUCGUUCAGCAGCUACCCUGGUUUCCUGGUGUCUCUCGAUGACUUCUACCUCUUGGGCAGUGGUCUGAUGAUGACCCAGACCACCAACAAUGUCUUCAACUCCUCCCUGUUCGAGUCGGUGACCCCCCACAGUCUGCUGGCAUGGCAGAGGGUCCGGCUGGCUCACAGUCUGGCUCACACCGGAGAGGAGUGGGCCCAGACCUUCUCCAAGCACAACUCAGGUACCUACAACAACCAGUACAUGGUGUUGGACAGGAGCAAAGUGAAGCUGGGCCACAGCAUCGAUGACGGUGCUCUGACGGUGGUGGAGCAGAUCCCCGGCCUGGUGGAGUUCUCCGACCAGACACAGGCUCUGCGCAGAGGUUACUGGCCGUCCUACAACGUACCUUUCCACGAGAAGAUCUACCUGCUGAGUGGCUACGGUGAAAUGUGGAAGGAGUAUGGAGAGGACUUCUCCUACGAUCUCUGUCCCAGGGCCAAGAUCUUCCGCCGGGAUCAGGCCGACGUCAAGGACCUGGACUCCUUGAAGCACAUCAUGAGGUCCAACGACUACAAGAAGGAUCCAUACUCCAAAGGCGACCCCUGCAAGUCCAUCUGCUGCCGUAACGACUUGAGUUCCGAGAAGCCUUCACCAGGAGGUUGCUACGACACCAAGGUGACAGAUUUCCAAAUGGCUGAGUAUUUCCAUGCGGAGGCGGUGAACGGGCCGACCACACAGGACGGACUCCCGCCGUUCAUUUGGGACAAGUUCAGCAACAUCAGCCACCAAGGUCUGCCGCAGUCCUACAACUUCACCUUCGUCAGGAUGCAGCCUCUGCUCUUUCAACCGUGAGGUGUGUGUGUGUGUGUGUGUGUGUGUGUGUGUGUGUGUGUGUGUGUGUGUGUGUGUGUGUGUGUGUGUGUGUGUGUGUGUGUGUGUGUGUGUGUGUGUGUGUGUGUGUGUGUGUGUGUGUGUGUGUGUGUGUGUGUGUGUGUGUGUGUGUGUGUGUGUGUGUGUGUGUGUGUGUGUUUUCCUCAGUGCAUGCACUAAGCACAUUGAACUGAGAUGUGAUCCAAUAUCCUUCUUUCUUUCCUCUUGUCCUCACAUGUUUUAUAUUUUGUUUUUUUUUAUAUUACAGUUUAAUGUAUUUUACUGCAAAGACAAGAAAACAAAGAAACUGCUUGUGGAGCCGUUGCCACGUGUCAAACAUCAUUUAAUAAAAUACAGAACAAAAAUCAUGACAGAAACAUUCCUGGUGUUCUGGAGAAACAAAGGUAGCGUUGUUGUGGCGAAGAGGAGAAAUAUUCUUGACACUAACUGAGUGGAUCCAGCUCCACUGUCUCUGCAGCAGAAAAUUCUAUUUACACGGUAAAUAAUUUAGUCAAACUUCCUCAAUCAGCGAGCGUCCAGCCGAAAACAUGGAAACAACAACAGAGAACUUUAUAAAGUAAAGUCAGCAAGAGUCCAUUUGAUAUAUUGGAUUCCUGGUUUUGAGAGAACUGACUUUAACUGAUUUGUUAAAUCCUCCCACAGCCGACCCUGAUACAAAAUUUAAGUUUUUUUGGGAAUUAGAAAAAGUUGUAGUAUCGAAAAUAACUCUAUGGCAGACAGUAAAUAAUAAAGUGACGAGUCUCGUUACAAAACGAUGGCCUGCUCCACAUAGUUAAAAAUAUAUAUAUAUAUUGCCUGUGUUUUUCUCUUAAUGUCACUUUGGUUGUUCCUUACUUAUUAUAAUAGCAGGUCUGUGUGAAACUGCGUCAGUGCCACAGAAUAAAAGAAGAAUAAAGCUCGUCUAUAACAUG